GACGAACGCUGGCGGCGCGCCUAACACAUGCAAGUCGAACGGAGCUGAGAGAAGCUUGCUUUUCUUAGCUUAGUGGCGAACGGGUGAGUAACGCGUGAGUAACCUGCCCUGGAGUGGGGGACAACAGUUGGAAACGACUGCUAAUACCGCAUAAGCCCACGAUCCGGCAUCGGAUUGAGGGAAAAGGAUUUAUUCGCUUCAGGAUGGACUCGCGUCCAAUUAGCUAGUUGGUGAGGUAACGGCCCACCAAGGCGACGAUUGGUAGCCGGACUGAGAGGUUGAACGGCCACAUUGGGACUGAGACACGGCCCAGACUCCUACGGGAGGCAGCAGUGGGGGAUAUUGCACAAUGGGGGAAACCCUGAUGCAGCGACGCCGCGUGGAGGAAGAAGGUUUUCGGAUUGUAAACUCCUGUCGUUAGGGACGAUAAUGACGGUACCUAACAAGAAAGCACCGGCUAACUACGG
Molecule: ribosomal RNA, 467 nt
Filed under: uncultured bacterium
Lineage: Bacteria
Description: partial 16S ribosomal RNA
Rfam family: Bacterial small subunit ribosomal RNA
Source: RNAcentral